GCUUUUUUGACACGACACGGAACAUACAAUAUAAACUCGACUCGUAAACUCGAAUCGUAAAAUCGUAAAAUCGCAAGUAAAAGUUUUUAACUAAAAAUCGUAAAAUCGCUAGUAAAAUAUUUUAAACAAUACAAAUAUCCAAACAUCUUAAAAUACAUAAUUCAAAUAAAAGUAAAAUAAAUAAUACAUUAAAAUACAUAAUUCAAAAAAAAGUAAAAUAAAUAAUACAAAUAUCCAAACAUCUUAAAAUACAUAAUUCAAAUAAAAAUUCAUACAUGUCCAUAGAAUUCAGCACAAAUUGCCACUGGUAAUUUUUUUAGAUGUCAUAUAUCCUGCAGUUCAAGAAUCAAUAUAUGCAUAAAAAAGGCAACUAUUCAGCACAAAUUGCACAAAUUGCACAUGUACAGUUCUAUCUAUAUGUACAUCCUUGAUUAAUGUGGGUAUGUCAUGCUUUUCAAAAGUAGAAUGAGAAAGCAAAAACCGGCCAAUAGCAGCAUGUACAAUUCUAUCUACCAAUAUUUCCUGAUACAUUGAACUGCUUCAUAUCAGAAAUUACAAUUCAUGCAUGUGCAACAAAAGCAGCUUCAAACACAGUUUUUCACUCCCAAGAAUUUUGCUAACAUAACCAAUUUUAGAAGUAUCACAACAGACUUAAGACAACAAAUUUGAAGUUUAAAUGCAAUAAUAACUAUGUGUCCUAUGCAAGAUUGAUAAAAUUAUGUGUCCCAUUUCAUCAGGCAAGUUUCAUUACAAGAAUGAUGAAAGGAUAUAUAAUAAAAUUAAAUGCUAAGUAAAGUGCUUAAAAACAUGAAGCUCCAGAACUAAGAUUUUUGAAAUCUAGCUAUUGCACAGGAGACAAUUUGUAUUAAGCACAAUUUGAAUCACAAAGCACUGUAUUUUAUUCUAUAUUAAGCAUAGAUGCAUUGAACAAAAAAAAACGUUAUCUUAUCAACACAGAAAACUGGUAUUUAAUUCUAUAUUAAGCAUAUUGCUAAACUAAUGGGGAAACGAAAGCAACAGCAGCGAUGGUUACCCGAACACAACCGACCCUUGAGAAUGAAUAUAUCAUAUAUGCCAUAACUCCUCCCACCUGUACAAGUCCUCCCUCUUUUCCACACUCAUUCUUAAUUCAAGCUCCAUUCCCGUAUUCAAAUAUUCUUCCAUUCACACCUUCUUUUGGUUUCAAUUCACAGUUCAAGAACUAUCAAGUGAAAUAUGGUUAUAUACUUAUAUUCAUUCAACAGAAGCACUCCUAAAAACAGAGGCUGUUAAUUCAAAACAAUGAUAAUUUAGUUCUAACUUCUCUUCCAUUUCCAACUCUGAUGUUUUUUAACUUGAUCGAAGCAUAGUAUAAAAAAUUAAUUAAAAAAAACAAUUGAAAUAAAAUAAAAUAAAAUUAUAACUUAAUAUAAUUUUUCUAAAUACAAAUCGAAAAAUAGAAGCAGGAAAAAAAAUAUAAAGGUAGAAAAACAGAAACAAAACAAGAAAAAAUGAUGUAAAAAAUGAUGAAAAACUUAAGGAUAACGCAUAAUAAUCAACAGAAAUUAAACACAAAAAAAAACUAAAAUAAACAUGAUAUUUUGAAAAUAUACCUGAUGAAAUCGAUCGGGUCAGAAAUCAAGAAAAUCAAAGUCGAUGAAAUGAGGAGGAACUAGGAAGGACUGAGCCACUGAGGAGAUGAAUUUGGAGAGAGCGGAAUCGAUAGGACUGUAGGAGGUCUUUCGAUCGAGAGAGAGAGCGUUUCAAGAGGAUGGAAGAAUCAAGAAUGGAAGAAAGAGAGUAAGAGACUGCUGUGUGCUUAGUCAGAGGAGAGAGGACAGAGGGCAUUUCAAAAUUCUGCUUUUGUUGAAAAUUUUGCUAAACUCGGGAAAACGUUACGUUUUUAACGUUUUUUCCGAGUUGACCCGUUUUUAAACGAGUUUGACCGGGUUUGACCGAUUUUACUGGUUUUCGAGUUUUAACCCCGAUUUUACAUGUUUUAUGUGUUUUAACUCGUAAAAUCGUUCGAUUUUA
This 2013-nucleotide long non-coding RNA is filed under the name Populus trichocarpa (black cottonwood). RNAcentral describes it as "long non-coding RNA (PTRI_LNC002406)". The record is from RNAcentral. Lineage: Eukaryota; Viridiplantae; Streptophyta; Magnoliopsida; Malpighiales; Salicaceae.